RNAcentral lists this ribosomal RNA (484 nucleotides) under uncultured bacterium. RNAcentral's name for it is "partial 16S ribosomal RNA". It matches the Rfam family "Bacterial small subunit ribosomal RNA", at positions 30 to 507 of the family's 1533-position model. The record is from RNAcentral.
AUUGAACGCUGGCGGCAGGCCUAACACAUGCAAGUCGAGCGGAUGAAGGGAGCUUGCUCCUGGAUUCAGCGGCGGACGGGUGAGUAAUGCCUAGGAAUCUGCCUGGUAGUGGGGGAUAACGUCCGGAAACGGGCGCUAAUACCGCAUACGUCCUGAGGGAGAAAGUGGGGGAUCUUCGGACCUCACGCUACCAGAUGAGCCUAGGUCGGAUUAGCUAGUUGGUGGGGUAAAGGCCUACCAAGGCGACGAUCCGUAACUGGUCUGAGAGGAUGAUCAGUCACACUGGAACUGAGACACGGUCCAGACUCCUACGGGAGGCAGCAGUGGGGAAUAUUGGACAAUGGGCGAAAGCCUGAUCCAGCCAUGCCGCGUGUGUGAAGAAGGUCUUCGGAUUGUAAAGCGCUUUAAGUUGGGAGGAAGGGCAGUAAGUUAAUACCUUGCUGUUUUGACGUUACCAACAGAAUAAGCACCGGCUAACUUCGUG